Molecule: ribosomal RNA, 292 nt
Filed under: uncultured bacterium
Lineage: Bacteria
Description: partial 16S ribosomal RNA
Rfam family: Bacterial small subunit ribosomal RNA
Source: RNAcentral
GUGCCAGCCGCCGCGGUAAUACGUAGGGAGCAAGCGUUAUCCGGAAUUAUUGGGCGUAAAGGGCGUGUAGGCGGCCAAUUAAGCUAGGUGUAAAAUGUUACAGCUCAACUGUAAAACUGCAUCUAGAACUGGUUGGCUAGAGGAUGAGAGAGGAAAGUGGAAUUCCUAGUGUAGCGGUGGAAUGCGUAGAUAUUAGGAGGAACACCAGUGGCGAAGGCGGCUUUCUGGCUCAUACCUGACGCUGAGGCGCGAAAGCGUGGGGAGCAAACAGGAUUAGAUACCCCAGUAGUCC